RNAcentral lists this unclassified non-coding RNA (253 nucleotides) under uncultured Rhodobacterales bacterium. Its description in RNAcentral is "contains 16S-23S intergenic spacer region". It matches the Rfam family "Bacterial small subunit ribosomal RNA", at positions 524 to 776 of the family's 1533-position model. Lineage: Bacteria; Pseudomonadati; Pseudomonadota; Alphaproteobacteria; Rhodobacterales. The record is from RNAcentral.
UACGGAGGGGGCUAGCGUUGUUCGGAAUUACUGGGCGUAAAGGGCGCGUAGGCGGGCGCUUAAGUCGGGGGUGAAAUCCCGGGGCUCAACCCCGGAACUGCCUCCGAUACUGGGUGCCUUGAGGACGGGAGAGGUGAGCGGAAUUCCGAGUGUAGAGGUGAAAUUCGUAGAUAUUCGGAGGAACACCGGUGGCGAAGGCGGCUCACUGGCCCGAUCCUGACGCUGAGGCGCGAAAGCGUGGGGAGCAAACAGG